RNAcentral lists this ribosomal RNA (921 nucleotides) under uncultured archaeon. RNAcentral describes it as "bacterial SSU rRNA". It matches the Rfam family "Archaeal small subunit ribosomal RNA", at positions 44 to 966 of the family's 1478-position model. The record is from RNAcentral.
CUAAGCCAUGCGAGUCAAAUGUUCCUUCGUGAACAUGGCGUACUGCUCAGUAACACGUGGAUAACCUGCCCUUAGGACUGGCAUAACCCCGGGAAACUGGGGAUAAUUCCGGAUAGUUCAUGGUAGCUGGAAUGCUCCAUGAUCGAAAGCUAUUGCGCCUAAGGAUGGGUCUGCGGUCUAUCAGGUAGUAGUGGGUGUAAUGUACCUACUAGCCGACGACGGAUACGGGUUGUGGGAGCAAGAGCCCGGAGAUGGAUUCUGAGACAUGAAUCCAGGCCCUACGGGGCGCAGCAGGCGCGAAAACUUUACAAUGCGGGAAACCGCGAUAAGGGGACACCGAGUGCCAGCAUCUUAUGUUGGCUGUCCGCAUGUAUAAAUCACAUGUGUUAGCAAGGGCCGGGCAAGACCGGUGCCAGCCGCCGCGGUAACACCGGCGGCCCGAGUGGUGGCCACUAUUAUUGGGUCUAAAGGGUCCGUAGCCGGUUUGGUCAGUCUUCCGGGAAAUCUGACGGCUUAACCGUUAGGCUUUCGGGGGAUGCUACCAGGCUUGGGACCGGGAGAGGUAAGAGGUACUACGGGGGUAGGAGUGAAAUCUUGUAAUCCUCGUGGGACCACCAGUGGCGAAGGCGUCUUACCAGAACGGGUCCGACGGUGAGGGACGAAAGCUGGGGGCACGAACCGGAUUAGAUACCCGGGUAGUCCCAGCCGUAAACUAUGCUCGCUAGGUGUCAGGGACGGUGCGACCGUUUCUGGUGCCGCAGGGAAGCCGUGAAGCGAGCCACCUGGGAAGUACGGUCGCAAGGCUGAAACUUAAAGGAAUUGGCGGGGGAGCACUACAACGGGUGGAGCCUGCGGUUUAAUUGGACUCAACGCCGGAAAACUCACCGGGGGCGACAGCAAUAUGUAGGUCAAGCUAAAGAC